This is a long non-coding RNA of Eupeodes corollae, 1614 nucleotides long. RefSeq lists it as uncharacterized. The transcript has 5 exons. NCBI's taxonomy places the organism in Eukaryota, Metazoa, Arthropoda, Insecta, Diptera, Syrphidae. The record is from RefSeq and is a predicted model, not a curated record.
UUAGGGCAUACCUAAAAUCCUUUCGUCAUGCAGUCAAAAUCAAAAUUCGGAAAAACACAUCCAACAUUUUUUUAACAAAGCGGAGUUUGUGAUAUAUUAACAAGUAAAAGAAAAUAUUUUGUGAAACGAUAUUCAAAUUUUUAUUCAUAAAGUGACAAUAAUAAAUAUAGAAAAAAAACAAUGACAUAAAAACUGUUGGAAUUUUUUAAAUCUAAUAAGAACUCUAUAUUUUUUUUCUAUUGAAUUUAUAUGAAAAAACAACACGGAAUGCUCAGGGAGUGGUAUACGACAUCUUACGGUUAAUAGAGCUCUAGUUCCUCAAUUGGUGUAGGUAUAGGCAAAGUGUGCGUGAAUUAAACGUUUGUCAGAAUUUAAGACCAAGGAAUUUUUUGUAUCCGACGGCAAUUGAUGGAAACCUUGUAGUCCUGUUUUACCUCUUCUCAUCCGCAUGAAAAAACCUGGUCAACAGGUUAAAUUGGAAAAUAAAUGCUGUCAAAAAGUGUUUUUUUUUCUUGUUUUGUUGGUUUCGGCAGCUUAAUGUCGGGAAAAAGUGAGGUCACACGUUCUGAACAAAAUGAAGGGCAGAAAGAACCUAUAAUGAAGUAAGCGAUUAACUGCCAGACCUUCUACACAAAACGGUCUUUUGUUUCACUUUGCGCUGUGAAUUUGUUGAUUUUAACGCCGACUUUUAUCCUGGAGCCAGAGAUACGUACAUAUAUACAUAUGUGUGUGUGUACAAAAAAAUGACUGUAUAAACAAGAAAGAUAUAAAACCUACCAAAUGCGGCAAUCAAAAUUCCUUGAAUUUAACAUGAAGACAAAUGUGAUGAUUUGAAAAGGACAUAGGGGAGGAAGGGGAUCGUACAUGCGAAUAUAUGAUUACUACACGUGUAAAGGAAACGGUUAAGGGAGGCAAUCUCAUGUAAUUGUUUUGUUAUUGGUAAUUGAAAGGCUAUUUAAAAUGUUUCCACGUAGUAAAGAGACCAGUUUUGUGUAACGUGCAUAAUAAUCACCAUAACUAUCAUUGUGUACUUAGAUUAGUGAGUUUCAGACGUCGGAAAUCGCAAUGUUAUUGGCAAAAUAUACAUUUAACGACUCUUAGUUUUUGGAAAAAUGGUGUCCAAAAAUAUGGAACAAGGUUCAGAACAACCUGGAACAAUACUCAAAAAAUCAAUUUUCGAGAAAGGGAGGGCUUGGUCAAAAAUAGUUUUCGGGUCUAAGACCCCCAUUUUGGGUGAUUUUAAAAAAAAACCUUUGGAACAAUGUGAAACAAACUGGAACACCCUUCCAAAAUAGGAGAAUCAAAAAAGGGGGGUUUACUUCACGCACUCACUACAUACCCCCUUUUUUAAAAAAAAUGUUCAUUUCAUCUAACCGUCGAUUUCACUAAUGGGUAUUUCGAUCCACAUUCAUCACGUUAAGAGUCGGGGCGAAUACAUGCAGAAUAGUUCGAGUUGUUCCCAUUUUAAAUUUUAAUGUAUUUUAUAAUUUUCGUAUCUCCCAAACAACUUUAAGAUAUCCAGAAUCAGUCCAAAUGACCAACAAAUACUUUGUUUAUACUUUUUUGUUUUAAAUAUGUAGUAAAUAAAUAAAUAAAAAUAAAACCAAACUAAUA